This 183-nucleotide non-coding RNA is filed under the name Gallionellaceae bacterium. RNAcentral's name for it is "6S RNA". It matches the Rfam family "6S / SsrS RNA". Rfam says of the family: E. coli 6S RNA was the first non coding RNA to be sequenced, but its function was unknown until recently. It consists of 184 nucleotides that fold into an extended hairpin structure with a large single-stranded internal bulge. The record is from RNAcentral. Lineage: Bacteria; Pseudomonadati; Pseudomonadota; Betaproteobacteria; Nitrosomonadales; Gallionellaceae.
UGUUCCCUGCGGUGUUCGUGAGGUUCAUAACUUCUUAGAACCAAUGAGCUUAAUGCUACGGUUGCGCCCCACUCAAAUCGCCGUUGUGAUCGUCCCCUGCGGAUGAACCUGAAGCGACCGGGAACCGACCCCUCUUGAACCCCGGUUCAAGAACAUUGGACCAACGGCACAGGCGGGGAACUC